UAAGAUUCGACCUGCUCAUGAAAUUAAAUACACAUUAGUGCUGUUUAUCAGCUUCCUCUCUUGAAUAUCCAACGACAUGGGAGUUAAAUCACAGCACAAAAUGU
Molecule: non-coding RNA, 104 nt
Organism: Solanum tuberosum (potato)
Lineage: Eukaryota; Viridiplantae; Streptophyta; Magnoliopsida; Solanales; Solanaceae
Source: Rfam